This 305-nucleotide long non-coding RNA is filed under the name Camelus dromedarius (Arabian camel). Its description in RNAcentral is "lncRNA (ENSCDRG00005003854.1)". The record is from RNAcentral. Lineage: Eukaryota; Metazoa; Chordata; Mammalia; Artiodactyla; Camelidae.
GCCUGGCUCAAGCUGACUUUCUGUGUUUUGAGCCCUGCCUGGAGCGGACCAUAGGAACAAGAAGAGGAGUUCUUGGUCUCCUGGUUGCUGUCUGGGUGUAUUUACUACUUACAGACUUGCAGGAUGGCAGACUUACAUCUAUCCACAAUAUUUGCUCUGCCCGUUCAAGACCCUUCCUGUGCCCAUGAGAGAAUCACAGAGGUAGAAAACUUCCACUCUGGGUUACAGGUGAGUUAAAACUUUUUUCUUUCUCCUAAAAUACUUCCCGUUCCCUAAGGUGAAUGCAUCUCCUUCCAGUACUCUGG